RNAcentral lists this long non-coding RNA (3792 nucleotides) under Anas platyrhynchos platyrhynchos (common mallard). RNAcentral describes it as "lncRNA (ENSAPLG00000018522.1)". The record is from RNAcentral. Lineage: Eukaryota; Metazoa; Chordata; Aves; Anseriformes; Anatidae.
CUGAUGGAUAAACCCCUACAACAGAAGACUCAGGGGAGGCAGGCACAAGCAAUGUGCUCAUGAAGCUCAGUGAAGAAUGUAGGGAGUAACCACAACUAUUGCACAUACAGCUGAAUUUAUAUCAACACAAAGGGAACAGGAGGGUGGCCUUUUUGUUUCGGAGUAAUGACUGUAUCAGUGCAGUGGAUCAACUGAUCCACUGAAUUUUCCCUGAGUUAAUCAAAAGAGUGUGAAUGUCUUCCGGAGUUAGCCAGACCAGUUACGAGUAAAGUGUGCACAUGGCUCAGACCAGCACGGAGUAUAAAAACUGAACAAUCAACAAAAUGAACUUCAAAAAGGGCAAGAUGUUUGAACUGGCUUCAUGCCAUGCAUUCCUUUCCUUGGGGAUACUCAAUGUCAUUAUGGUGAACAUAUAGAGACUGGAAAUGAGAAUCACAUUUGUACAUGUUGUACAUUGCAACUGAUAUAUUGUGCUCACACUGUGAUCUCAUCACAUUAUUGUAUCCCUCUACUAAAUCGAAAUCCUGUGUAAAAUCAAAUAUAAUGAAAUGUGUAAAUGUGGUAUUAAACAUUAAACCCUCUUUGUGUGGAAUAAAUAAAGGAACCUGGUCAGAGGUCACUGGACUCUGAAACUGCUUCUGACAAGCUUACAAAAACUGAAAAGCCCAUUCUCAAGAAAGCUACAGAGGUAGUCAGAAAAAAAUGUUUGCAAUGAGAAGUGUGCAUCAAACCAACUCUGUAUGAAGAAGCAAUCCACUCUAGGAAAAGGUCUAAAAUGAUGAUUGUUCCAACUCCUGCAUCAUCCUUUCUGAGAAUGCACUGCUAUUGCAUCUUUGAGAGGAAACAAAAUCUUCCUCAAUGUUCAACCAGCUUCCUCCUUGAACUACAGCUGGAGGAAGGAUGGGCUGGAGGACUGCAGGGGGAUGGGAAGUCUUCUUCACCUAGUUGCUGUUGAGAUGUCCAUCCAUCAAGCUACGGUUUUCACAGUUCAGAUCAGCAGACUUCACAAUCUUCCACAUCACAGAUCUGUGUAAGUAUCAGGGAAAAUGUGAAGGGGAAAGUGCUGCUCAGAUACAACAGGGAAACCGUUAGUGGUCAUCACUGUGGGGCAGACCAAGGUAAUGCUAAUAAAACAGGGAACUCCGAGAAAGAGGCAGACAAAUGGGUUGGAUACAUCAAGAUAUUUCUCCUCCCAUCAUCACACUGUUUCAGCAUUUCAGUUCUGGAGAUAUUUCUGCUGAAGGUCAUAGGAGCACAGCGCUGGGAAAAGUUAUCUGGUUCUCUUCUCUCAAUCUAUUAUGUCUUUCCUGUGUCUGGGCCUCUGAUGGAUGACAGCAUGUAAGAGAAAAUAGAAAGUCCCACAUUUUCCCAUCCAAGAGGAGGCUUUCUUAGUGAGGGCCUGGCCACCCAAGCCUGUCUGUUCCCAAUGCCCUGCAGUGGCAGUCACUUGUCACUCUUCUGCAGGGGCCCUCCCUGUGCAGAUUUCCAUCUCAUGCCUGAACGUGCCAGAAAUGCUUCACAGUGUGACUGCUCCUUCCUACCUCCUCAGCAGAAAAACUCAUCUCCAGGGAGACGGGAGUUUCAUGCAUGACACUUUAUCUGUCUUCCAGCAGCCUUUGGGCAGUGAUUACCAAGGAUAUCAAAUGCCCUCUCUGAUGCAAGUACUUUCAUUGCUUUUCCACCCUCUAACGCUGAGUUUGUGAAGGAAUUCAGCUCUUCAUGCAGCAUCUCCACAAACAUAGAAAAUGAAGAGUUUUGAUCAAACAAGGGAUUUCAAGCUGUAGGCCACACCCUGUGCUGUGAAUGGUCUUUUAAGCCUGAAAAAAUGCAUAUUGAGGUGGUCGUCUUGAACAGAAACUGCACCGUACAUUUUCCAUCUUGGUUGGUGAUGAUCGUACUUGAGAUAUUAAAUUGCACAGGGGGGGUGGGGAGACUGGGGAAGUUGGGGAGCUGUCAGGCCAGCUCCCUGACAGAAGUAAGGAGAUGCUAGAGGGGUUGCCAGGUGAAGACCAAACCUACCAAAAAUGCCAGAGAGGGACCCUCCCCAGGCCUUUCCCCAUGGGCAGGGGCUGCAUAAGGUGGGAUAGGCAUGUAGACACAAAAGGAGGGCAGGUCUGGCUGUACUCACAGCAGCAUUGGAGCAGCCUGGUGUGGUUGAGGUGAACCCUGGAAAAGCAGCCAUGUUUUAAAUGAUCUGAGGCUCACUCUUACCAAGUAUUAAGAGAUUUCCUACAAGCACUGGAGCUGAUCUGGGGAUUUCUUUAGCAGCUGCUUAUUUAAGAAUCAGCCAUUGUCCUUCCUUAAUCUGAAUUCAGAUCAAGCCAGCCAGUAAUGUUUCUGCUACCAUCAUUAAAUGUCUUACUUUUAAUUCAUUUGCAGCAAGGUAACAUAUACAAUGAAUAUGGGGUCAUAGCACAGCCUUGACACUGAAUUGUGAAGAACACAGGAUUUCUUUAUUGAGCAUAUCAAGCAAGGGAUUCUUGCAGUGCAUUGCUACAGGUAUAAAGGGAAGGUGCAUUAAUUUCAGCAGUUGGGAGAUCUUUUUAAAGUUGGUUUUCUUGUCCAUCUUUUUGUCCAGAUUCUCAUACCUCUUUACAACUAUUUUCAGAAAAAAAUGAAAAAAAAAAAUGAAAAAAAAAGAAGAGUAGACGCUGCAGAGUCUGAAUCUGUAUAAGGUCAGCUGUGCUUGCUAGAGUGUAAUUUUCACUUAUUAAUGUGAAUAGAAGACAGCUAUAAGUCUGCAGCUAAAUUUAAAUUUAGGUGUUGGAGCAAUAUAAUUGCUACUUUGAAUUGUAUGAUAUUGCUUUAAAAUUAAUGAUUAUUAAAGAUUACUUGUUCUGUGUUUUUGUUUGUUUGUUUGUUUUACUUUGUUUAGGUUUCUUUUAAAGAGCAGGUUCCAUUACAUUUCUAAGUACAAUAACCUAAGACCAUGUCAACAAACUGUGUAACUACAGACAUUUCCAUCCUAGCACAGAACAUAACUUAGCCUGAACUCUAAGAUUAUGAAUUUUAAGGGAAAAUAAGUGUUUUCUUCAAAUACCCCUAGGAGGAUGGCAACAGGGGGAGAAGGAUUAUGUUUAUUGUUUAUAAUUAACUACAUCACAGUUGAAAGUUAAUUUUGAUUUAGAUAAACCACCCACUGAAUAUCAAGUUACUUCUCAAGAUUCUCACCCCUUUCAGAGCCUAUCUGUCUCUGUGGGUCUUGAGACUAACUGCUGUUAAGCCUCUCUACUUGUAACAGGUGGUUCUGGCUAAAAGUCUAACAACCCUGGUGCUACAGGGUGGGGCAAGAUAUAUUUUUGCUAUUUAUAUGAGAUAAGAAGUUGUAAGUCUGAUCCAGGCCCAUGUUUGGAUUGCCUAAGAAAGGGUCCUUUUGAGUGUAGGGUAUGUAUUCUGGUGUAGAAAGAAAUGAAAAAGUGAAACAUUACCACACACUUGUCGUCAUGAAGAAAUGUUUGCAUUGCAGAUCCCUAGUAAGAAGUGAUAAAUUCUUCAGCAUGCAAAGACUAAGCAUAUAACAGAACAAACUUCUCUGAGGACCCUGUGCAUUUGAAGUGGUAAAAGCUGUGAUUUCAAUGCUGUGAUUGCAGAUGUGUGUGUAAAGAAAUACUGAACAUGGAAGAUCUAUGCUCCAUGACAAAUGGUAGCUGUGGUUGUGUCUUUCCUUUGGGACAAGGCAGAAGAAUGAUGACUCCUCAUAUUCACUGUACUUUGCUUAGGCUAAUUACUAGGAACUACAUGAAUUUGCAAUGAAUUUGCAAUAAAUAAUUUAUCCAACAUACCGAAGUCUCA